This 253-nucleotide ribosomal RNA is filed under the name uncultured bacterium. RNAcentral's name for it is "partial 16S ribosomal RNA". It matches the Rfam family "Bacterial small subunit ribosomal RNA", at positions 524 to 776 of the family's 1533-position model. The record is from RNAcentral.
UACAGAGACUGCGAGCGUUAUUCGGAUUCACUGGGCGUAAAGGGUGCGCAGGUGGUCGGGUAAGUCUGACGUGAAAUCCCGCAGCUUAACUGCGGAAUGGCAUUGGAUACUAUUCGGCUAGAGGGUUGGAGGGGGGACUGGAAUUCUCGGUGUAGCAGUGAAAUGCGUAGAUAUCGAGAGGAACACCAGUGGCGAAGGCGAGUCCCUGGACAACUCCUGACGCUGAGGCACGAAAGCUAGGGGAGCAAACAGG